Peromyscus leucopus (white-footed mouse) is the source of this 709-nucleotide long non-coding RNA. RefSeq lists it as uncharacterized. NCBI's taxonomy places the organism in Eukaryota, Metazoa, Chordata, Mammalia, Rodentia, Cricetidae. The transcript is spliced from 2 exons. The record is from RefSeq and is a predicted model, not a curated record.
CUGACUCUUCCUAAAAAGAAAAAAAGUAAAAAUGAAAAAGAAAAAAAAAAAUCUGGCUUUCCUUGAGUGGAAAGAAGUCCUUGGGCUGCUCCAGGGAAGAGCAUGGAGCCGCCUCUGCGACCGAGGCAAAGUAGCUGUCAUAAUCAACAGCUGCCUGCAGAGGGCGCCGGAGGGCACAGACAGGGAACAAAGCUGGAAGGUGGACCGUGCAUGAGCAGCAGGGCUGGGACUCUGCCCUUCAGUGAGUCUUGUCUGGUUUAGAAAAUGAGAGAGGAGGGAGAGCAAGAGGUGGUUUAGACCCAAAGCUUCUCAUCUACCCCAAACCCACUGACACUCAUUCUCCAGAGAGGAAGUGGCUUUAACCGGCACAUCAGGAAAAGAGGAGCUGUGCAGCACCUGCUCCUGGUGGGACACUCUGAAAGGGACAGACGUGCUGAACCAGGAGGCUUGGACAAGCAGGAGCAGCUCGUCUGACUACAGCCCCUCCUCUGCUGGGUAAUGAACGGCUUGACCCUGCUGGUCCUCCCUCCAUCACUGCCUGAUACCAGGGGAAGGUGGAGGCCAUGCCCAGCACAUCUAAAGCUACAAAAACAGGAAACUGGGGCUGGAGGAAAGCAUUCUGCUAACGGAGCUAUAACCCCAGCCCAAAUCCCAUCGUUUUUUUUAUUAUUUGUUUUUUGUUUUGUCUUAUAAAUAGGCUGAGUUUUGG